GUAACAGGUCGUAGACCCGAAACCAGGUGAUCUACCCAUGUCCAGGAUGAAGGUAAGGUAAUACUUACUGGAGGUCCGAACCCACGCACGUUGAAAAGUGCGGGGAUGAGGUGUGGGUAGCGGAGAAAUUCCAAUCGAACUUGGAGAUAGCUGGUUCUCUCCGAAAUAGCUUUAGGGCUAGCCUCGAGGUAAAGAGUCAUGGAGGUAGAGCACUGUUUGGACUAGGGGCCCUUCUCGGGUUACCGAAUUCAGAUAAACUCCGAAUGCCAUGUACUUAUACUCGGGAGUCAGACUGCGAGUGAUAAGAUCCGUAGUCGAAAGGGAAACAGCCCAGACCACCAGUUAAGGUCCCCAAAUAUAUGUUAAGUGGAAAAGGAUGUGGGGUUGCUUAGACAACCAGGAUGUUGGCUUAGAAGCAGCCACCAUUGAAAGAGUGCGUAAUAGCUCACUGGUCGAGUGACCCCGCGCCGAAAAUGUACCGGGGCUAAACAUAUUACCGAAACUGUGGAUGAACCUCUUUAGAGGUUCGUGGUAGGAGAGCGUUCUAAGGGCGGUGAAGUCAGACCGGAAGGACUGGUGGAGCGCUUAGAAGUGAGAAUGCCGGUAUGAGUAGCGAAAGAAGGGUGAGAAUCCCUUCCACCGAAUAUCUAAGGUUUCCUGAGGAAGGCUCGUCCGCUCAGGGUUAGUCGGGACCUAAGCCGAGGCCGAUAGGCGUAGGCGAUGGACAACAGGUAGAGAUUCCUGUACCAGUGCUAAUUGUUUAACCGAUGGGGUGACACAGAAGGAUAGGGAAUCGCACGAAUGGAAAUGUGCGUCCAAGCAGUGAGUGUGAGAAGUAGGCAAAUCCGCUUCUCGCGAAGCAUGAGCUGUGAUGGGGAAGGAAAUUAAGUACGGAAGUUCCUGAUUUCACGCUGUCAAGAAAAGCCUCUAGGAAGAGUAGUACUGCCCGUACCGCAAACCGACACAGGUAGAUGAGGAGAGAAUCCUAAGGUGAGCGAGAGAACUCUCGUUAAGGAACUCGGCAAAAUGACCCCGUAACUUCGGGAGAAGGGGUGCUCUAUUAGGGUGCAAGCCCGAGAGAGCCGCAGUGAAUAGGCCCAGGCGACUGUUUAGCAAAAACACAGGUCUCUGCAAAACCGUAAGGUGACGUAUAGGGGCUGACGCCUGCCCGGUGCUGGAAGGUUAAGAGGAGUGCUUAGCUUCGGCGAAGGUACGAAUUGAAGCCCCAGUAAACGGCGGCCGUAACUAUAACGGUCCUAAGGUAGCGAAAUUCCUUGUCGGGUAAGUUCCGACCCGCACGAAAGGCGCAACGAUCUGGGCACUGUCUCAACGAGAGACUCGGUGAAAUUAUAGUACCUGUGAAGAUGCAGGUUACCCGCGACAGGACGGAAAGACCCCGUGGAGCUUUACUGCAACCUGAUAUGGAAUGUUUGUACCGCUUGUACAGGAUAGGUAGGAGCCGAAGAGACGUGUGCGCUAGCAUACGAGGAGGCAAUGGUGGGAUACUACCCUGGCUGUAUGACCAUUCUAACCCGCCACGCUUAGCGCGUGGGGAGACAGUGUCAGGUGGGCAGUUUGACUGGGGCGGUCGCCUCCUAAAGAGUAACGGAGGCGCCCAAAGGUUCCCUC
This 1629-nucleotide ribosomal RNA is filed under the name Listeria monocytogenes. Its description in RNAcentral is "partial 23S ribosomal RNA". It matches the Rfam family "Bacterial large subunit ribosomal RNA", at positions 699 to 2323 of the family's 2925-position model. The record is from RNAcentral. Lineage: Bacteria; Bacillati; Bacillota; Bacilli; Caryophanales; Listeriaceae.